Neopelma chrysocephalum (saffron-crested tyrant-manakin) is the source of this 235-nucleotide long non-coding RNA. RefSeq lists it as uncharacterized. The record is from RefSeq and is a predicted model, not a curated record. The transcript has 3 exons. NCBI's taxonomy places the organism in Eukaryota, Metazoa, Chordata, Aves, Passeriformes, Pipridae.
GGGGGGGGAGGAGCUGGAGCGGCUCCGGUUGGACCCCGAGGCCUUUUGUGCCUGGAGCAGCCCCGGCACGGCCACGGGGGGCCUUGUGUACGGGCACUACGGGAGACCCCAGGACCUGGCCCAGCUCCGCAAACGGGGGGUGUCGGCCCGGGGGCACAUCCUGAUCCUGCGCCUGGGGAGGGGGACCCCCAAUCAACAGGUGGCGGCGGCAGCGGGGGCAGGGGCCGUGGGGGUC